RNAcentral lists this ribosomal RNA (659 nucleotides) under uncultured bacterium. Its description in RNAcentral is "bacterial SSU rRNA". It matches the Rfam family "Bacterial small subunit ribosomal RNA", at positions 1 to 663 of the family's 1533-position model. The record is from RNAcentral.
GGCUAGAGUUUGAUCAUGGCUCAGGAUGAACGCUGGCGGCGUGCCUAACACAUGCAAGUCGAGCGGAGCACUUUACUUUGAUUCUUCGGAUGAAGAGUUUUGUGACUGAGCGGCGGACGGGUGAGUAACGCGUGGGUAACCAGCCUCAUACAGGGGGAUAACAGUUAGAAAUGACUGCUAAUACCGCAUAAGACCACAGCACCGCAUGGUGCGGGGGUAAAAACUCCGGUGGUAUGAGAUGGACCCGCGUCUGAUUAGCUAGUUGGUAAGGUAACGGCUUACCAAGGCGACGAUCAGUAGCCGACCUGAGAGGGUGACCGGCCACAUUGGGACUGAGACACGGCCCAAACUCCUACGGGAGGCAGCAGUGGGGAAUAUUGCACAAUGGGGGAAACCCUGAUGCAGCGACGCCGCGUGAGCGAAGAAGUAUUUCGGUAUGUAAAGCUCUAUCAGCAGGGAAGAAACUGACGGUACCUGACUAAGAAGCACCGGCUAAAUACGUGCCAGCAGCCGCGGUAAUACGUAUGGUGCAAGCGUUAUCCGGAUUUACUGGGUGUAAAGGGAGCGUAGACGGAUAGGCAAGUCUGGAGUGAAAGCCCGGGGCUCAACCCCGGGACUGCUUUGGAAACUGUUUAUCUAGAGUGCUGGAGAGGUAAGUG